UGCCAGCAGCCGCGGUAAUACGGAGGGGGCGAGCGUUAUUCGGAAUCAUUGGGCGUAAAGGGCGCGUAGGCGGCCUGACAAGUCAGAGGUGAAAUCCCUCGGCCUAACCGAGGAACUGCCUUUGAAACUGUCAGGCUUGAGGCCGGGAGAGGGUGGUGGAAUUCCGAGUGUAGCGGUGAAAUGCGUAGAUAUUCGGAGGAACACCAGUGGCGAAGGCGACCACCUGGACCGGUUCUGACGCUGAGGCGCGAAAGCGUGGGGAGCAAACAGGAUUAGAUA
RNAcentral lists this ribosomal RNA (279 nucleotides) under uncultured bacterium. RNAcentral describes it as "partial 16S ribosomal RNA". It matches the Rfam family "Bacterial small subunit ribosomal RNA", at positions 506 to 784 of the family's 1533-position model. The record is from RNAcentral.